Molecule: ribosomal RNA, 499 nt
Filed under: Vibrio sp.
Lineage: Bacteria; Pseudomonadati; Pseudomonadota; Gammaproteobacteria; Vibrionales; Vibrionaceae
Description: bacterial SSU rRNA
Rfam family: Bacterial small subunit ribosomal RNA
Source: RNAcentral
ACCUUCGGGGAACGAUAACGGCGUCGAGCGGCGGACGGGUGAGUAAUGCCUAGGAAAUUGCCCUGAUGUGGGGGAUAACCAUUGGAAACGAUGGCUAAUACCGCAUGAUGCCUACGGGCCAAAGAGGGGGACCUUCGGGCCUCUCGCGUCAGGAUAUGCCUAGGUGGGAUUAGCUAGUUGGUGAGGUAAGGGCUCACCAAGGCGACGAUCCCUAGCUGGUCUGAGAGGAUGAUCAGCCACACUGGAACUGAGACACGGUCCAGACUCCUACGGGAGGCAGCAGUGGGGAAUAUUGCACAAUGGGCGCAAGCCUGAUGCAGCCAUGCCGCGUGUGUGAAGAAGGCCUUCGGGUUGUAAAGCACUUUCAGUCGUGAGGAAGGUAGUGUAGUUAAUAGCUGCAUUAUUUGACGUUAGCGACAGAAGAAGCACCGGCUAACUCCGUGCCAGCAGCCGCGGUAAUACGGAGGGUGCGAGCGUUAAUCGGAAUUACUGGGCGUAA